CCCAUUUAUCAGUUAAUUAACUUAACCCAUUAUCCCAAAUUUUAGUAACUGCAACUCUCUAUUUCUCUCUUUCAAAAGCAACGCAUUCCCUUCCACCAUCCCAUAAUUUUAGUAACUGCAAUUCUCUCUCUCUCUCCGAAACGCAACACAGCUGCUCCUCAUCGCUUUUUAGCAAGCGACAACCUUUGCCAAUUUCUGCCACUCUUCUCGCCUCUGUUACCUUUCAUCCACAUCAGUACAUCAGGAAAGUCGUCGCAGUUAACUCUGCUUUUUCAUCAAUUUUCAUCAGCCACAUCAUCGAGUCGCGACGUCACCGGUGACCACCGUAGCAGUCCAACGCCUUGCAGCACUAUUUGACCGCCUAUGUCCGGCAGAAAAAGCCACCACUUCCUCCCCAGUCAAUCAAUACAGAAACUACCAUCUCCAUCUCUUAUAAAAGCAUCUCUUAUUUAUUUUAUAUUUUCUAUUUUCUAUUUCAGUCUUUUUAUAUUCUUAAUUAAUUUCUUAAUUUUUCUGAAUAAAGGAUUUGAUGUGUGUUUAUAGGUGAAGUUUGGAGGUUAUACAGAAGCUUCUGAAUUUUGGCCACUAAUAUUGAAUCUCCGGACAUCAAGGUGAAAAAGGCGAUGCUUAUUACAAAUUGCUUGUGGAAAAAGGAAAAACAGACUGUUGAUUUGAAAGAUGAAUUUGCUGAAACAGUAGUUUUCAAAACUGGAAGGCUACCUGUCUCAACUCCCUCCUGACAUCCAAACCAGAAGGCAACCUGCACUGCUACACAGGGCAUGGAAGGCGAGGAGAAGUGUUUCUUGCGUUUCAGGCCCGAGAGAGAAUAGCUUGAAAAUCUCUAAUUUAGUUUCCAGAAGUCGAAUCUGAUCCGUGGAUGCUGUGGACAUUGCUGAUUGUCUGUUUCCACGUGGCAAAAGAGAAGUACAAACAGAUCAGUUGCAGGCCAUUGAUAGGUUCUCUAGAGCUCUAACAGCUGCUGAUUUAACCUCUAUAUCAUUAAGCUCAAGCAUCUGAAGAAAGAUAUUGCUUGUCGUGAUCAGUCAGUUCAAGAUCGGCUAAUGUAUCUGCCAUAAUUACUUCCUGCAUGUGCAUCAAGAUUUGUUAUAAAUGUACUGAUUAUCUCUCACUUUUUAUUUUGAAGAUUUACCUUCAAAAAGAAUGCUAAGGAAUUUCACCCUUGCCCAUCCGCACGAUGUUUUGAUCAAGAAAAGCAAGACUGUCCAGAAGCUCUUGGCAUAUUUUGAAGCUUGAGCAUCAUCAUUGAUUGCUAAGCUUUAUGUGUCAAUUUUGUGUCUACCACUGCUUGUGAUAAUUUAAUUUUUGUUGUGCUUUCAACAUCAAUUUGUUCCUCGGUAGAUAGUGUAUUUAGUUUUUAAUAUAUUUAUGGCUUCUUUCA
Salvia miltiorrhiza (redroot sage) is the source of this 1399-nucleotide long non-coding RNA. RefSeq lists it as uncharacterized. NCBI's taxonomy places the organism in Eukaryota, Viridiplantae, Streptophyta, Magnoliopsida, Lamiales, Lamiaceae. The record is from RefSeq and is a predicted model, not a curated record. The transcript is spliced from 2 exons.